UACGGGGGGAGCAAGCGUUGUUCGGAUUUACUGGGCGUAAAGGGCGCGUAGGCGGUCGUGACAAGUCACUUGUGAAAUCUCCGGGCUUAACUCGGAACGGUCAAGUGAUACUGUCGGACUAGAGUACAGAAGGGGCAACUGGAAUUCUCGGUGUAGCGGUGAAAUGCGUAGAUAUAUGGAGGAACACCAGUGGCGAAGGCGGCUCUCUGGUCUGUAACUGACGCUGAGGCGCGAAAGCGUGGGGAGCAAACAGG
RNAcentral lists this ribosomal RNA (254 nucleotides) under uncultured bacterium. RNAcentral's name for it is "partial 16S ribosomal RNA". It matches the Rfam family "Bacterial small subunit ribosomal RNA", at positions 524 to 776 of the family's 1533-position model. The record is from RNAcentral.